UCAAAAAACGGUACUCAUUCGGAUUGAAGGCUGAAAUUCGCCUUCAUGAAGCUGGAAUUGCUAGUAAUGGCAGGUCAGCAUACUGCCGUGAAUACGUUCCCGGGCCUUGUACACACCGCCCGUCACACCAUGAGAGUUGGCAAUACCCAACGUACGUGAUCUAACCCGCAAGGGAGGAAGCGUCCUAAGGUAGGGUCAGCGAUUGGGGUGAAGUCGUAACAAGGUAAC
This 228-nucleotide ribosomal RNA is filed under the name uncultured bacterium. RNAcentral describes it as "partial 16S ribosomal RNA". It matches the Rfam family "Bacterial small subunit ribosomal RNA", at positions 1274 to 1500 of the family's 1533-position model. The record is from RNAcentral.